This 254-nucleotide ribosomal RNA is filed under the name uncultured bacterium. RNAcentral describes it as "partial 16S ribosomal RNA". It matches the Rfam family "Bacterial small subunit ribosomal RNA", at positions 524 to 776 of the family's 1533-position model. The record is from RNAcentral.
UACGAAGGGGGCUAGCGUUGUUCGGAUUUACUGGGCGUAAAGCGCACGUAGGCGGUUUGUUAAGUGAGAGGUGGAAAUCCCAGAGCUCAACUCUGGAACUGCCUUUCAUACUGACAAGCUAGAGUCCGGAAGAGGUAAGUGGAACUCCUAGUGUAGAGGUGGAAUUCGUAGAUACUAGGAAGAACACCAGUGGCGAAGGCGGCUUACUGGUCCGGAACUGACGCUGAGGUGCGAAAGCGUGGGGAGCAAACAGG